Small nuclear RNA from Sorex fumeus (smoky shrew), 162 nucleotides. RefSeq annotates it as U1 spliceosomal RNA. The transcript has a single exon. The record is from RefSeq and is a predicted model, not a curated record. Lineage: Eukaryota; Metazoa; Chordata; Mammalia; Eulipotyphla; Soricidae.
AUACUUACCUAGCAGGGGAGAAAACAUGAUUAUAAAGUUGGUUUCCCAGGGCAAGACUUAUUCAUUGCACUUUGGAUGUGCUAACCCCCUACAAUUUCCCCAAAUAUGGGAAACUCAGGUGCAGAAUUUGUGGUAGCGGUAGACUAUAUUUGCACUCUCCUC